This 383-nucleotide ribosomal RNA is filed under the name uncultured Katablepharidophyta. RNAcentral's name for it is "partial small subunit ribosomal RNA". It matches the Rfam family "Eukaryotic small subunit ribosomal RNA", at positions 30 to 432 of the family's 1831-position model. Lineage: Eukaryota; Cryptophyceae; Kathablepharidacea. The record is from RNAcentral.
GCUUGUCUCAAAGAUUAAGCCAUGCAUGUCUAAGUAUAAGCACUUAUACCGUGAAACUGCGAAUGGCUCAUUAUAUCAGUUAUAGUUUAUUUGAUAGUACUUACUACUUGGAUAACCGUAGUAAUUCUAGAGCUAAUACAUGCACAAAAUCCCGACUUACGAAGGGAUGUAUUUAUUAGAUACAAACCAACAUCGUGGUGAUUCAUAAUAACUUUGCGAAUCGUAUGCCUCACGGCGACGAUGAAUCAUUCAAAUUUCUGCCCUAUCAGCUUUGGAUGGUAGGGUAUUGGCCUACCAUGGCUUUAACGGGUAACGGAGAAUUAGGGUUCGAUUCCGGAGAGGGAGCCUGAGAAACGGCUACCACAUCCAAGGAAGGCAGCAGG